RNAcentral lists this ribosomal RNA (1238 nucleotides) under Bacillus amyloliquefaciens. RNAcentral's name for it is "bacterial SSU rRNA". It matches the Rfam family "Bacterial small subunit ribosomal RNA", at positions 83 to 1307 of the family's 1533-position model. Lineage: Bacteria; Bacillati; Bacillota; Bacilli; Caryophanales; Bacillaceae. The record is from RNAcentral.
UCCCUGAUGUUAGCGGCGGACGGGUGAGUAACACGUGGGUAACCUGCCUGUAAGACUGGGAUAACUCCGGGAAACCGGGGCUAAUACCGGAUGGUUGUCUGAACCGCAUGGUUCAGACAUAAAAGGUGGCUUCGGCUACCACUUACAGAUGGACCCGCGGCGCAUUAGCUAGUUGGUGAGGUAACGGCUCACCAAGGCGACGAUGCGUAGCCGACCUGAGAGGGUGAUCGGCCACACUGGGACUGAGACACGGCCCAGACUCCUACGGGAGGCAGCAGUAGGGAAUCUUCCGCAAUGGACGAAAGUCUGACGGAGCAACGCCGCGUGAGUGAUGAAGGUUUUCGGAUCGUAAAGCUCUGUUGUUAGGGAAGAACAAGUGCCGUUCAAAUAGGGCGGCACCUUGACGGUACCUAACCAGAAAGCCACGGCUAACUACGUGCCAGCAGCCGCGGUAAUACGUAGGUGGCAAGCGUUGUCCGGAAUUAUUGGGCGUAAAGGGCUCGCAGGCGGUUUCUUAAGUCUGAUGUGAAAGCCCCCGGCUCAACCGGGGAGGGUCAUUGGAAACUGGGGAACUUGAGUGCAGAAGAGGAGAGUGGAAUUCCACGUGUAGCGGUGAAAUGCGUAGAGAUGUGGAGGAACACCAGUGGCGAAGGCGACUCUCUGGUCUGUAACUGACGCUGAGGAGCGAAAGCGUGGGGAGCGAACAGGAUUAGAUACCCUGGUAGUCCACGCCGUAAACGAUGAGUGCUAAGUGUUAGGGGGUUUCCGCCCCUUAGUGCUGCAGCUAACGCAUUAAGCACUCCGCCUGGGGAGUACGGUCGCAAGACUGAAACUCAAAGGAAUUGACGGGGGCCCGCACAAGCGGUGGAGCAUGUGGUUUAAUUCGAAGCAACGCGAAGAACCUUACCAGGUCUUGACAUCCUCUGACAAUCCUAGAGAUAGGACGUCCCCUUCGGGGGCAGAGUGACAGGUGGUGCAUGGUUGUCGUCAGCUCGUGUCGUGAGAUGUUGGGUUAAGUCCCGCAACGAGCGCAACCCUUGAUCUUAGUUGCCAGCAUUCAGUUGGGCACUCUAAGGUGACUGCCGGUGACAAACCGGAGGAAGGUGGGGAUGACGUCAAAUCAUCAUGCCCCUUAUGACCUGGGCUACACACGUGCUACAAUGGACAGAACAAAGGGCAGCGAAACCGCGAGGUUAAGCCAAUCCCACAAAUCUGUUCUCAGUUCGGAUCGCAGUCUG